GGUCGUGUGGCCUAAUGGAUAAGGCAUCGGACUUCGGAUCCGAGGGUUGCAGGUUCGAGUCCUGUCACGAUCG
Daphnia pulex (common water flea) is the source of this 73-nucleotide non-coding RNA. The record is from Rfam. NCBI's taxonomy places the organism in Eukaryota, Metazoa, Arthropoda, Branchiopoda, Diplostraca, Daphniidae.